GUGACCAACUAAAUAAAUACUUGGCCAUUGGUGUGUAAUGUUUUUUUUGAACCAGCGAACGUGAUUCUGGGAUUUAAUAUUUAAUAAAAAGUGCGGAAAGUGACGAUCCCAGGGUCACUGUUGAUAACUGGAAACCAAAGAUUUGGAGCUGUAUUUCGUUAUAGCGUGUGGGAUCGCCGCCGGUGCAUUUUUAAUACUUUUCAUUUUGGUGUGCAUGCUAUUUGUCAAACUGAAUCGAUUGAACGCGGACGGCUGCAUAGCCGACGUUUCGUUUUGUUGGGACGAGCCACGUUUCCGACGAUGUAGGCCAAAUAUCGGAAUAUGUCACGUCCAAUCAACUAAAUAGACAAUCUAGCAUGAUGGCAGACUUUUGUUACACGAAUCCUACGAUUGU
Molecule: long non-coding RNA, 394 nt
Organism: Colletes gigas
Lineage: Eukaryota; Metazoa; Arthropoda; Insecta; Hymenoptera; Colletidae
Exons: 4
Source: RefSeq, a predicted model, not a curated record